UAGAGUUUGAUUCUGGCUCAGGAUGAACGCUAGCUACAGGCUUAACACAUGCAAGUCGAGGGGAAACGAUGAAAGAGCCUGCUCUCUUAGGCGUCCACCGGCGCACGGGUGAGUAACCCGUAUCCAACCCGCCCAUUACAGGGGAAUAACCUUGCCAAAGUAAGACUAAUGCCCCAUGGUAUUUCUCAGCAGAAAUUUAAUGAGGAUUAAAGAUUUAUCGGUAAUGGAUGGGGAAGCCUCUGAUUAGCUUGUUGGCGGGGUAACCGCCCACCAAGGCAACGAUCAGUAGGGGUUCUGAGAGGAAGGUCCCCCACAUUGGAACUGAGACACGGUCCAAACUCCUACGGGAGGCAGCAGUGAGGAAUAUUGGUCAAUGGGCGAGAGCCUGAACCAGCCAAGUAGCGUGCAGGAAGACGGCCCUAUGGGUUGUAAACUGCUUUUAUAGGGGAAAUAAAGUGAUCUACGUGUAGUUUAUUGUAUGUACCCUAUGAAUAAGGACCGGCUAAUUCCGUGCCAGCAGCCGCGGUAAUACGGAAGGUUCGGGCGUUAUCCGGAUUUAUUGGGUUUAAAGGGAGCGUAGGCCGUAGAUUAAGCGUGUUGUGAAAUGUAGAUGCUCAACAUCUGACUUGCAGCGCGAACUGGUUUACUUGAGUGUGCACAACGUAGGCGGAAUUCGUCGUGUAGCGGUGAAAUGCUUAGAUAUGACGAAGAACUCCGAUUGCGAAGGCAGCUUACGGGAGCACAACUGACGCUGAAGCUCGAAGGUGCGGGUAUCAAACAGGAUUAGAUACCCUGGUAGUCCGCACAGUAAACGCUGGAUGCCCGCUGUUGGCUCAUUAGAGUCAGCGGCCAAGCGAAAGCAUUAAGCAUCCCACCUGGGGAGUACGCCGGCAACGGUGAAACUCAAAGGAAUUGACGGGGGCCCGCACAAGCGGAGGAACAUGUGGUUUAAUUCGAUGAUACGCGAGGAACCUUACCCGGGCUUGAAUUGCAGACGCACGCGGCAGAGAUGCCAAGGCCCUUCGGGGCGUCUGUGAAGGUGCUGCAUGGUUGUCGUCAGCUCGUGCCGUGAGGUGUCGGCUUAAGUGCCAUAACGAGCGCAACCCCUUUUCUUAGUUGCCAUCAGGUGAUGCUGGGCACUCUGGGAAUACUGCCACCGUAAGGUGUGAGGAAGGUGGGGAUGACGUCAAAUCAGCACGGCCCUUACGUCCGGGGCUACACACGUGUUACAAUGGCCGGUACAGAGGGCAGGUUGCAUGUAAAAUGCGAAUCGAAAUUCUUAAAAGCCGGUCCCAGUUUCGGACUGAGGUUCUGCAACCCGACCUCAGAAAGCUGAUUUCGGCUAUUAAUCGCGGCAUUCAGGCCAUGGCGCGAGUAAAUACGUUUCCCGGGCUUUGUCACACC
Molecule: ribosomal RNA, 1404 nt
Filed under: uncultured bacterium
Lineage: Bacteria
Description: partial 16S ribosomal RNA
Rfam family: Bacterial small subunit ribosomal RNA
Source: RNAcentral